GUAGGGUGCGAGCGUUAAUCGGAAUUACUGGGCGUAAAGCGUGCGCAGGCGGUUUAGUAAGACAGGCGUGAAAUCCCCGGGCUCAACCUGGGAACUGCGCUUGUGACUGCUAAGCUAGAGUACGGCAGAGGGGGGUGGAAUUCCACGUGUAGCAGUGAAAUGCGUAGAGAUGUGGAGGAACACCGAUGGCGAAGGCAGCCCCCUGGGCCGAUACUGACGCUCAUGCACGAAAGCGUGGGUAGCAAAC
RNAcentral lists this ribosomal RNA (247 nucleotides) under uncultured Dechloromonas sp. Its description in RNAcentral is "partial 16S ribosomal RNA". It matches the Rfam family "Bacterial small subunit ribosomal RNA", at positions 527 to 773 of the family's 1533-position model. The record is from RNAcentral. Lineage: Bacteria; Pseudomonadati; Pseudomonadota; Betaproteobacteria; Rhodocyclales; Azonexaceae.